GAUGAACGCUGGCGGCGUGCCUAAUACAUGCAAGUCGAGCGAACAGACGAGGAGCUUGCUCCUCUGACGUUAGCGGCGGACGGGUGAGUAACACGUGGAUAACCUACCUAUAAGACUGGGAUAACUUCGGGAAACCGGAGCUAAUACCGGAUAAUAUAUUGAACCGCAUGGUUCAAUAGUGAAAGACGGUUUUGCUGUCACUUAUCGAUGGAUCCGCGCUGCAUUAGCUAGUUGGUAAGGUAACGGCUUACCAAGGCCACGAUGCGUAGCCGACCUGAGAGGGUGAUCGGCCACCCUGGAACUGAGCCACGGUCCAGACUCCUACGGGAGGCAGCAGUAGGGAAUCGUCCGCAAUGGGCGAAAGCCUGACGGAGCAACGCCGCGUGAGUGAUGAAGGUCUUCGGAUCGUAAAACUCUGUUAUUAGGGAAGAACAAAUGUGUAAGUAACUAUGCACGUCUUGACGGUACCUAAUCAGAAAGCCACGGCUAACUACGUG
RNAcentral lists this ribosomal RNA (497 nucleotides) under uncultured bacterium. RNAcentral's name for it is "partial 16S ribosomal RNA". It matches the Rfam family "Bacterial small subunit ribosomal RNA", at positions 28 to 507 of the family's 1533-position model. The record is from RNAcentral.